This 142-nucleotide small RNA is filed under the name Escherichia coli LF82. Its description in RNAcentral is "sRNA, function unknown; paralogous to the other QUad sRNA genes". The stretch from base 1 to 115 matches the Rfam family "Short Intergenic Abundant RNA", at positions 35 to 147 of the family's 147-position model. From Rfam's summary of the family: This family contains multiple ncRNA from E. coli that were identified in a large scale screen of E. coli, were they were called candidates 43,55 and 61. These RNAs have also been identified by other groups and called QUAD RNAs. The record is from RNAcentral. Lineage: Bacteria; Pseudomonadati; Pseudomonadota; Gammaproteobacteria; Enterobacterales; Enterobacteriaceae.
ACAAGGGUAAGGGAGGAUUUCUCCCCCCUCUGAUGAGUUGUUAGUAAGUCGGGAAACUUAACAGUAACAACACAACCAGUAUGAUGACGAACUUCAUCAUAACCCUUUCCUUCUAUAAGGCCCCUUCCUCGGGAGGGGCUUU